This 406-nucleotide ribosomal RNA is filed under the name uncultured bacterium. RNAcentral's name for it is "partial 16S ribosomal RNA". It matches the Rfam family "Bacterial small subunit ribosomal RNA", at positions 29 to 526 of the family's 1533-position model. The record is from RNAcentral.
AUUGAACGCUGGCGGCAGGCCUAACACAUGCAAGUCGAGCGAGCGGCGGACGGGUGAGUAAUGUCUGGGGGACUGCCUGAUGGAGGGGGGUAACUACUGGAAAAGGUAGCUAAUACCGCAUACCAUCAGAUGUGCCCAGAUGGGAUUAGCGAGUAGGUGGGGUAAAGGCUCACAUAGGCGACGAUCCCUAGCUGGUCUGGGAGGAUGACCAGCAACACUGGAACUGAGACACGGGCCAGACUCCUACGGGAGGCAGCAGUGGGGAAUAUUGCACAAUGGGCGCAAGCCUGAUGCAGCCAUGCCGCGUGUGUGAAGAAGGCCUUCGGGUUGUAAAGCACUUUCAGCGGGGAGGCGUUACCCGCAGAAGAAGCACCGGCUAACUCCGUGCCAGCAGCCGCGGUAAUUC